CAAAAUUCAAUUCUAUUUCCAUACAUGGUCAAAGAACAAUUGGAAACAAAAAACUUUUAAAAGACCACUUAUAUUUGCAUAAAGAAUAUGAAAUACUUAGUGAUUAACCUGAAAAAGAGAUGUAUAACAGCUGUAUUCUGAAAAUUACAAAAUAUUGCUGAGAAAGAUUUAAAAAGAUCUAAAUAAAGGAAGAGACACACCUUGUUCAUGGGUUGGAAGACUCAAUAUUGUUAAGAUGCCAACGGUCCCCAAAUUGAUUUAUAUAUUAAAUGCAAUCUCAACCAAAAUCCCAAUAGGCUUUUUCUGUAAACAUUGACAAGUUCAUUAUAAAAUUCAUAUGGAAAUACAAAGUACCUAGAAAGACAAACAACUCUGUGAAAGGAGAACAAAGUUGAAGAACUUCCACUACUUGAAUUCAAGACAUUGUAAAACUACAGUAAUCUAGACAAUAUGGAACUGGUAUCAAGACAGACAAACAGGGGCUUCCCUGGUGGCACAGUGGUUAAGAAUCCGCCUGCCAAUGCAGGGGACACGGGUUCGAGCCCUGGUCCGGGAAGAUCCCACAUGCCACAGAGCAAUGCAGCCCGUGCGCCACAACUACUGAGCCUGCGCUCUAGAGCCUGUGAGCCACAAGUACUUAGCCCGUGUGCCUAGAGCCUGUGCUCUGCAACAAGAGAAGCCACCACAGUGAGAAGACCGCGCACCGCAACAAAGAGUAGCCUCCGCUCGCAACUAUAGAAAAGCCCGUGCGCAGCAACAAAGACCGAAUGCAGCCAAAAAUAUAAUAAAUAAAUAAAUUUAUUUUAAAAAA
This is a long non-coding RNA of Orcinus orca (killer whale), 811 nucleotides long. RefSeq lists it as uncharacterized. The record is from RefSeq and is a predicted model, not a curated record. NCBI's taxonomy places the organism in Eukaryota, Metazoa, Chordata, Mammalia, Artiodactyla, Delphinidae. The transcript is spliced from 2 exons.